AUGGGAACCCGCGGGCUCGCCGUGCUGCUCCUCGCGGCCGUGCUGCUGCAGGCCCUCCUCCCGGCGUCGGAGGCGGAGGGCCUGGUGCGGAUCGCGCUGAAGAAGCACGCCAUCGACCGGAACAGCCGCGUCGCCAAGAGCCUCUCCGACCGCGAGGAGGGGCCCCUCCUCGGCGGCGGCGCCGCCAACACCCUGCGCUCCGAGGAGGAGGGCGACAUCGUGUCCCUCAAGAACUACAUGAACGCGCAGUACUUCGGGGAGAUCGGCGUCGGCACCCCGCCGCAGAAGUUCACCGUCAUCUUCGACACCGGCAGCUCCAACCUCUGGGUGCCCUCCGCCAAGUGCUACUUCUCGAUUGCGUGCUACCUCCACGCACGCUACAAGGCCGGGGCGUCCAGCACCUACAAGAAGAAUGGAAAGCCUGCUGCCAUUCAGUACGGCACUGGUUCAAUUGCUGGAUAUUUCAGCGAGGAUAGUGUUACAGUGGGUGAUCUUGUUGUGAAAGAUCAGGAGUUCAUUGAGGCUACAAAGGAGCCAGGUGUUACUUUCUUGGUUGCAAAGUUCGAUGGUAUUCUUGGGCUUGGGUUUAAGGAAAUAUCUGUUGGCAAAGCAGUUCCUGUGUGGUAUAAUAUGGUAGAGCAAGGUCUCAUCAGUGAUCCUGUUUUCUCGUUCUGGUUGAACCGACAUGCUGAUGAUGAAGGAGAGGGUGGUGAGAUUAUUUUUGGAGGAAUGGAUCCCAAACACUACGUGGGUGAGCACACAUAUGUCCCAGUCACCCAGAAGGGAUAUUGGCAGUUUGACAUGGGUGAUGUCCUGGUUGGAGGGAAGUCCACAGGAUUCUGUGCUGGCGGUUGUGCCGCAAUUGCUGAUUCUGGAACUUCACUGCUUGCUGGCCCCACGGCCAUCAUUACUGAAAUUAACGAGAAGAUUGGUGCGGCUGGGGUAGUCAGCCAAGAGUGCAAAACAAUUGUUUCUCAGUAUGGACAACAGAUCCUCGACCUGUUGCUAGCAGAGACACAGCCCAAAAAGAUCUGCUCCCAGGUUGGUCUGUGCACCUUUGAUGGGACUCGUGGUGUUAGUGCUGGAAUUCGGAGCGUGGUUGAUGAUGAGCCUGUGAAAUCAAAUGGCCUCCGUACCGAUCCCAUGUGCAGUGCCUGUGAGAUGGCUGUUGUGUGGAUGCAGAACCAACUUGCACAGAACAAGACCCAGGAUCUCAUACUGGAUUACGUUAACCAGCUGUGCAACCGUCUCCCGAGCCCCAUGGGAGAAUCAGCCGUGGACUGUGCCAGCCUCGGAUCCAUGCCUGACAUUGAGUUCACCAUUGGCGGCAAGAAGUUUGCGCUGAAACCAGAAGAGUAUAUCCUGAAGGUUGGUGAAGGAGCCGCUGCCCAGUGCAUCAGUGGAUUCACAGCCAUGGACAUCCCCCCUCCCCGCGGUCCUCUCUGGAUCCUGGGAGACGUCUUCAUGGGCCCCUACCACACCGUCUUCGACUAUGGCAAGCUGCGGGUCGGCUUCGCCAAGGCGGCCUGA
This 1530-nucleotide ribosomal RNA is filed under the name Triticum aestivum (bread wheat). Its description in RNAcentral is "partial small subunit ribosomal RNA". Lineage: Eukaryota; Viridiplantae; Streptophyta; Magnoliopsida; Poales; Poaceae. The record is from RNAcentral.